UACGGAGGGUGCAAGCGUUAUCCGGAUUCACUGGGUUUAAAGGGUGCGUAGGCGGGCAGGUAAGUCCGUGGUGAAAUCUCUGAGCUUAACUCAGAAACUGCCAUGGAUACUAUUUGUCUUGAAUGUUGUGGAGGUAAGCGGAAUAUGUCAUGUAGCGGUGAAAUGCUCAGAUAUGACAUAGAACACCAAUUGCGAAGGCAGCUUACUACACAAAUAUUGACGCUGAGGCACGAAAGCGUGGGGAUCAAACAGG
Molecule: ribosomal RNA, 253 nt
Filed under: uncultured bacterium
Lineage: Bacteria
Description: partial 16S ribosomal RNA
Rfam family: Bacterial small subunit ribosomal RNA
Source: RNAcentral